UAGGGAAUCUUCCGCAAUGGACGAAAGUCUGACGGAGCAACGCCGCGUGAGUGAAGAAGGAUUUCGGUUCGUAAAACUCUGUUGUUAGGGAAGAAAAAAUGUAUAGUAACUAUAUACAAAAGAGACGGUACCUAACCAGAAAGCCACGGCUAACUACGUGCCAGCAGCCGCGGUAAUACGUAGGUGGCAAGCGUUGUCCGGAAUUAUUGGGCGUAAAGCGCGCGCAGGUGGUUUAGAAAGUCUGAUGUGAAAGCCCACGGCUCAACCGUGGAGGGUCAUUGGAAACUAAUAAACUUGAGUGCAGGAGAGAAAAGUGGAAUUCCUAGUGUAGCGGUGAAAUGCGUAGAGAUUAGGAGGAACACCGGUGGCGAAAGCGGCUUUUUGGCCUGUAACUGACACUGAGGCGCGAAAGCGUGGGGAGCAAACAGG
Molecule: ribosomal RNA, 429 nt
Filed under: Verrucomicrobiota bacterium
Lineage: Bacteria; Pseudomonadati; Verrucomicrobiota
Description: Verrucomicrobia bacterium partial 16S ribosomal RNA
Rfam family: Bacterial small subunit ribosomal RNA
Source: RNAcentral